Molecule: ribosomal RNA, 321 nt
Filed under: uncultured bacterium
Lineage: Bacteria
Description: partial 16S ribosomal RNA
Rfam family: Bacterial small subunit ribosomal RNA (bases 100-321)
Source: RNAcentral
CGCAGGGAGAGCGUCUCGGAUCAUUGACAACUAAAAUAAGGAGCAAGCAAACGUCCGAAUUAAAGGGGCCCUAGAUCACGAAACACAGUAAUAAAAAUGAAUCUGGAGAGUUUGAUCCUGGCUCAGAACGAACGCUGGCGGCGUGCCUAACACAUGCAAGUCCAACGUGAAAAGGGGAGCAAUCCCCCGGUAGGGUGGCAAACGGGUGAGUAAUACAUGGGUGAUCUACCUUAGGGAUGGGGAUAUCCUUCCGAAAGGAGGGGCAAUACCGAAUAUUGUCCGGAGCCGUGAAGGGUUCCGGGGAAAGGGAGGCCUCUGAUA